This 305-nucleotide ribosomal RNA is filed under the name uncultured bacterium. RNAcentral describes it as "bacterial SSU rRNA". It matches the Rfam family "Bacterial small subunit ribosomal RNA", at positions 338 to 640 of the family's 1533-position model. The record is from RNAcentral.
CCUACGGGGGGCAGCAGUGAGGAAUAUUGGUCAAUGGGCGGAAGCCUGAACCAGCCAAGUCGCGUGAGGGAAUAAGGCCCUACGGGUCGUAAACCUCUUUUGCCGGGGAGCAAGGGCCGGGACGCGUCCCGGCCCGGAGAGUACCCGGAGAAAAAGCAUCGGCUAACUCCGUGCCAGCAGCCGCGGUAAUACGGAGGAUGCGAGCGUUAUCCGGAUUUAUUAGGUUUAAAGGGUGCGUAGGCGGGCUUUUAAGUCAGCGGUAAAAAUUCGGGGCUCAACCCCGUCCGGCCGUUUAAACUGGGGGC